Long non-coding RNA from Panicum virgatum (switchgrass), 3101 nucleotides. RefSeq lists it as uncharacterized. NCBI's taxonomy places the organism in Eukaryota, Viridiplantae, Streptophyta, Magnoliopsida, Poales, Poaceae. The record is from RefSeq and is a predicted model, not a curated record. The transcript has 5 exons.
AAUGUAUAGUUUUUUGCUGUCAUAAUCAUACUAAUUGAUUGCUUUAUCCUAUUAUUGCCAAAAGGCCAUCGAAUCUACACCUCAUUGCUGCUCUGAUAUAUAAGUAUUGUUUCACCCUGUCAAAAUGGUUAGUACCUAUCCCCAACGAGUAUAUAAUUAUAUUACUGAUGCAACUUGGUGCAUAUGGUACAAAAUGAGUUGAGAAAUUUUAAACUAGUACAAAUAAAAUUUUGCUAAGUAGAACUUAUGUAAUACUUAUUUUGUUUACAAUUUCAGCCUUGCUUAUGUUGCUCUACUGACAACCUGAUAUAUAAUCUUUGCAGUCUGGCUCAUCAAAGAGUUCCACUGGUGACAGUGAACCUGUUAACAAUGCAACUGAUACACAAGGUGUAAAUUUAAACAGCGCAGCUGCUUCACAGGCUUACUCAUCACAAAUUGCUGGGAGUAGCACUCGAGCAUGUAAGUCAAGGACACAAACCAAAUGGCCAGAGGACAAGGUGACUGCAACUAGACUUGAUGAACAAGGUUGGCCUACCCCAGAUGCUGCAAGGGAAAGAUUCGUAUUGGUCUGUGGCCUCAUUGCUCGGGAGAGGGUGUCAAUCAAUGUCACGGUUGAGGAUCUCACACCAGAAAUGAGGAGAGAUAUGUUCACUGUUUUGGAGGAAAAGCUAGAGUACCCAGCCAAUCUGUCCACAGCUGCUCGCAAUAAGGCAAUUAAGUCGGCUAUGAAAGAGAUUGCACUUUUGCAACGGCGAUUCAAGGCCCAUUUAAGAGCAGAUUUUGUGAGGCAAGAUGAGCUUCCCUUUGAGAAGCACCCCUUUUUGAAGCCAGAAGACUAGGAGCAGUUUGUAGAGACAACCAGAUCUCCAUUGUUCGAGCAUGUGAGCCAGGAGAUGAAAGAGAAGAGAGCCAAACACAAUAAGCCACACAAGAUGGGAAGAAAAGAUUAUUAUGGUUAAAGGAAAGAUUGGGAGUUGGAGGAUGAAAAGCUAGCUGCAGAAGGAAAGGAGAACCCUUGGGAGCAAUAUCCUGGCCGUUCUAGGCCAUAUCUGCAGGCAAGGUCAGGGCCGACCAUUAGUGCAAGCGGGGACAUAACAUUCACUUCCCCUCUAGUGGCAGACAUAGCAGAUAAAGUGAAAAGAAUUGCAGCUCAAGCUAGUGAUGGUUCUUUCACUGGGAUUAGGGAGAAUGAUGUUCUUACUGAGGCACUUGAGAAUCCAGAGCAUCGAGGUCGGGUGUGAGGUGUCUCUAGUUCACUUGGCUGGGGUAAAGGGUUUGGCCCAGAAUGUGCUGAAAUGUAUAGGAAGAAGAAGAAGAAGAGGAGGUCUGAUGCAGACAAGGAAGAGAUAGUUGGUGAAGAAUUCAAUAGAGUUAUGGAGUUGCUGAGAGUUGCAUGUGUGCCCAUACCGGAUGGUCUGUGCCUCACCCAAAGUGUACAUAAUAGAUCUUCUGACAACAUAGCUGAGGAGGAUGUGCCCAUUAACAAGGGGCAAAAUGAUGGUCCACCUCAGCCGGACACAAUAGAUCUGCUGACAGAGCCAACUAAGUGCAGUCUUCUGGAUGGCAGCGAGUAUGACAUGGAGCUCGCAUUAGGCACUGUCUAUCCAAAUCAACAGACUUGCCAUACAGUACCGGUAUAGAAUGGGUAUGCAGUGGUGCAACCUACUUAUGUGUGGCCCAAUGCGAGGCACAUCAAACUGCCUAUCCCAGUAGAGUAUGAGAUCACAACCCUAGCUGAUUCUCUCUUGCAACGCAUAUAGUGGCCAAGACGGAGAAUCCUUAUCCCACCCAGGUCUAGAGAUCCAAACUCUGCAGCACCAUCAGCUGGUAAUACAGCUUCCGAUGCAGCUACUUUAGCUCUGCGUCAGCAAAAGCAACAUCAGCAGGACCUGCAGCUCAGACAGUAGCUGGAUAGCCAAACUCUGCCCCAGCAUCCGCUAAUCCAAACUGAGCCCUGCAGCAUCCGCUCAUCCAAAUUGAGCCCCAGCAGCGUCCGCUCAUCCAAACUGAGCCCCAGCAUAAGCAGCUCAACCAAUCUCCACAGCAGCACAUCGAACAUGAGCCUAAAAAUAUGGAAGUUGGCGCUGUUUGGACUAUGGCUAAUCUAAAAUACAAGCCGGGUGAGCCUAUGUUGUCAGAAAAGGCUUUAAAGUCUGCUGGGCCAUGUUGUCAAGCAUUGCAUGCUUACAUCAUGAAACAAAGUGGAAAUGGUGCUAUUGACAUUCCUGCAAAGGUGGCUGCAUCCUACUUUCAUACUGAGGAUGAUUUAAAAUUGGCAGUUGGAUUCAAUGACUUGUAUGACCUUUACAACCUGGAUAGUCUGGACAUGAGCUUGUUGAGGUGCUGGACAUUGAAAAUGAUGAAACAGGCAGAGGAGAUGCACUGUAAUGUUGGGUUUUUGGACCCACAGAUAUUCUCAGCCACACUCGUUCAAUACAAGUCCAAAGAUGUGAUAACAGCAAUUAAAAGGGCUAUGAAUGACGACUACGUGGUGGGUGCCUACAACACUGGUAGCCACUGGGUACUAGUGAUCAUUGCUAUGAAGUGGAAUGUUGUUUGGUAUUUGGAUUCUGCUAAAAGUUUUCCAUUGCGAAAGUUCAAGGAUGUAGUAACUAUUGUGAACUGGGCCUAUUCAGAGCACAUGGAGACAAAGAUGAAAAAAAUUCAAAAACCAAACAAAAACCAAACCUAAACUCACGCACAAGACAGAUAUUAAGUGCGCUCAACAGCCGUCGGGUAGCUUGUCGUGUGGAUUCUAUGUUGCACUGAACAUGUACGACCUACUCGGUGACAUAAAUGUCAUUAAAAAGACUUCUGGUUACAAAGCUACCCAAGAAGUAGAUCAAGGAGCACUAAGGAUGGUCCAGCGGAUGCUCUGCGAUUUCAUUCUUAAGGAGAUCAUCGACCCAAAGGGCAGCUUCCAUGAUGAGCCAGCACAUGCCACGUGAGUUCAUUCUAAAUGCUCUGAAACAGUGAACUUUGGAACUUGGAACUUGGAACUUGUAACCUGUAAAUUUAAACUUGCAGUCAUAAACCUUGUAACUUGUAACCUGUAACUUUAAUUCUUGAUGUGUACUUGUGUAGAUAACUUUCAUUCUUGA